CCCCAAGCUGAAUUUUGACGUAAUUUCUCUUGAUGUAGCUAGCAGGUGGCAGAGGUGUAUUUGAAAGUCGGCAGUACCCUGACAGCGAUUAGGAUGUCAUCCAUCUGCUAGUCUUCUUGAUCCUUGAAUUCUGUGGAGCUCAAAUAGACAACAAAGCUUUGUGGAACUGAUUAGGUGUUAGCAUAAAUAUCUAGCCUUUAUCAUGUUGAGCUUCCUUAAUAAGUGUUACUCUAUAUUUUUAUAUUUUCAUUUUAUAGAACAGAAAAAAUAUUUAUUUUAUUUUUAUGCCACCACAGUGAAUGUACUUAUGGGGUUUUAUGCCACUCAUAUACUCACAUGGGGCUUACUAUUUUUUAACAUUUUUAUUUUCUUUUUAGGAUAAUAUGAACAUGAUUAACUAAGUAAACUAUUUGAAAUAAUUGAAAGGAAAAGGAUAACUACCAAGUUUACCUCUUGGCAAAGCGUUCAGCAUUUUUAAGUCCUCCGAACGGGACUCUCCGUUUUCUCAGUUGUCUUGGGAUUCGUUGGAUGGCGUAGUCGGUGCUUCCGGCAGCGUCUCCUCUUCGUGUAUAGUUAUCUUCUCUCUCCACACCUGACUCGGUGCUACGAUCUCCUCAAGAUAAUUCUGUUCAAGUUGUAUGUCUUCAGACCUUACCACUUCUCCUUCGUAGUCUGCCCAUCCGUCCUUGAUGAUUUUCCUCUUCUGGUUGCGGUUGUGUCGUCUUCUUCUUGUCCUGACCUGUUUAGAGUCUUCAACUAUAUAAUUAGGGUUAGUAAAAUAGCGGCGUACCUUCUCUAAGGGGAAGUGCAUGUAGACUUCUCCAGUUCAAAUGUAGAUGAUUGCUUUAACCGUGCUGAGGAACGGUCUCCCAAGGAUGAUGGGUGGAUCGUAUUCGUGUUCUCCCAUGUCAAUAACCUGAAAGUCUGUAUGGACAAAAUGAUCGUCUAUUUUGACUGGGACAUCAGUUACUAUACCUUCAACCUUUCAGAAUGUCUGAUCUACCAUCUGGAGCUGAAUAUAUGUUGGCUUUAAGGGCAUGGUUUCGAACAAGAGCCGAUAGAUGACUGUGGCCAUUAUGUUGACGCCCGAUCCGGUGUCGCAAAAUGUCUUGUAGAAGUUGUAUCCAUUGAUGGAGUAAU
RNAcentral lists this long non-coding RNA (1140 nucleotides) under Sorghum bicolor (sorghum). RNAcentral describes it as "long non-coding RNA (SBIC_LNC012558)". Lineage: Eukaryota; Viridiplantae; Streptophyta; Magnoliopsida; Poales; Poaceae. The record is from RNAcentral.